RNAcentral lists this unclassified non-coding RNA (294 nucleotides) under Pluteus thomsonii. RNAcentral describes it as "sequence contains 5.8S rRNA gene". The record is from RNAcentral. Lineage: Eukaryota; Fungi; Basidiomycota; Agaricomycetes; Agaricales; Pluteaceae.
GAACGCACCUUGCGCUUCUUGGCAUUCCGAGGAGCAUGCCUGUUUGAGUGUCAUUAAAUCCUCAACCCCAUCUUCCUUGUGAAGUGGUCAGUUGGACUUUGGGAGCUGCUGGCUAUGUGUCAGCUCUUCUGAAAUAGAUUAGCAGGGACCUUAUGUGCUGGACUGCAGCUCGGUAUUGAUAGUUGUCUUACCAGGUUGACAGUUAGGCAUUCACUCUGCUCACAGCCGUCUCUAGUUGAGACAAGUGACUUGACGAUUUGACCUCAAAUCAGGUAGGACUACCCGCUGAACUUA